This 326-nucleotide ribosomal RNA is filed under the name uncultured eukaryote. RNAcentral describes it as "partial 18S ribosomal RNA". It matches the Rfam family "Eukaryotic small subunit ribosomal RNA", at positions 1470 to 1796 of the family's 1831-position model. The record is from RNAcentral.
CCCUUAGAUGUUCUGGGCCGCACGCGCGCUACACUGAUGCAUUCAACAAGCCUAGCCUUGACCGAGAGGUCCGGGUAAUCUUUGAAACUGCAUCGUGAUGGGGCUAGAUUAUUGCAAUUAUUAAUCUUCAACGAGGAAUGCCUAGUAAGCGUGAUUCAUCAAAUCGCGUUGAUUACGUCCCUGCCCUUUGUACACACCGCCCGUCGCUACUACCGAUUGAACGUUUUAGUGAGGUAUUUGGACUGGACCUUCGGAGGUUCGCGCCUCCGUUGCUGUUCGGGAAGACUCCCAAACUUGAGCGUUUAGAGGAAGUAAAAGUCGUAACA